GAGUUUGAUCGUGGCUCAGAUUGAACGCUGGCGGCAGGCCUAACACAUGCAAGUCGAGCGGAUGACGGGAGCUUGCUCCUUGAUUCAGCGGCGGACGGGUGAGUAAUGCCUAGGAAUCUGCCUGGUAGUGGGGGACAACGUUUCGAAAGGAACGCUAAUACCGCAUACGUCCUACGGGAGAAAGCAGGGGACCUUCGGGCCUUGCGCUAUCAGAUGAGCCUAGGUCGGAUUAGCUAGUUGGUGGGGUAAUGGCUCACCAAGGCGACGAUCCGUAACUGGUCUGCGAGGAUGAUCAGUCACACUGGAACUGAGACACGGUCCAGACUCCUACGGGAGGCAGCAGUGGGGAAUAUUGGACAAUGGGGGCAACCCCUGAUCCAGCCAUGCCGCGUGAGUGAAGAAGGCCU
RNAcentral lists this ribosomal RNA (407 nucleotides) under bacterium enrichment culture clone ALO1_GLFRUDD03FX6ES. RNAcentral's name for it is "bacterial SSU rRNA". It matches the Rfam family "Bacterial small subunit ribosomal RNA", at positions 9 to 417 of the family's 1533-position model. The record is from RNAcentral.